AAGCAAGCAAUACGCCCCACCAAUCUAUCUUCCAUCCUCUCACUCGUUUACCUUUGCGCUUUCUUGUUCUUUUUUUUUCGCGCCGUGGUAUCGCAGCGUUGGCGACGAGCGUCUUAACAGAUAUAUACAUACAUAUAUCUCUAUCUGUAUAUCUGUAUAUACACACUUCGUUCCUGUUGCUGGUUUUUCUCUGCCCGUGUCUGUGUGAGUGCGCACAUCUGUUUUACACGUACGGGACAUACAUCCCCCAUUCGUACGCUCGUCCAACUCACCUUCAACUUGCCCCCAUCCCUCUCUCUCCGCUCUGUGCUCUCCACACGCUCCUUGCACGAAGCUGCAGUCGAAAGAGGAGGACGACACACGCUCAAACACGCAUCGCCGCCCAAGCAGGUAAUUGAAAGCCACACAUCAGGAAAAGAGGAAAUAACAAGAAAAAGAGAGAGAUUGUAACAGGGCCGAGCAGGUGUAUUUCCCCUUCUGUUCUCGUACCCCUGUCACUCAAUAACGGAGACGAACAGUGGGGCUUACAGACACUGAUUGCAGCCAACCAGCGAAGGAAGGCAGUAGUACGCAAGGUGACGCUCACGUUGGGAGGGUCUGCAGGAAAAGUCAAGCUAUUCCAGUUGCCACCUUUCCGCUCCGCCCCGCCCCUCGUGCCCCUCUCAUCUUGGCCAGACACACAUCGGGGUCACACACAAGUUGAGGUACCCGCGCCAUCAAGAGAACCACCGACGCCGAGGGCGAAAAACACACGUAGUUUCUCCCCUCUGCAAUCCGCCGUUCCUUGCAAGCUCCAUUCUUCUAUCCGCAAGUGUUCUCUCUCCCUCUGCAGGCGGUCCUCUACUGUUUUCUCCCAUUUCGUCUGCACGUCUGAGCGGCGCUGGUUUCCAAACCCUCCACUAUCCUCCCUCCCCCUGGCGCCUCUGUCGCUUCUCCUUCCGUUGCUGGUGGGAGAACUGUGUGCUUCAUCGUGUUUCUGUUUCUUGAUUCGGCUUGUACAUCACGCCGCUUCACUCUGCUUUUUUUUCUCAAUCCCUGCUUCUUUUUUUCCGGCUUGUGUGUGUUUGUGGCCCAUAGCACGUUUGUGUUGUCGCGUGUGCGCUUGUGUCGGUUUUCGUGUGCUGGUGCGUUGCUCCGGCUUUCGCCCUUCUUUAUGUGUCUUCGUCCUACACAUCCUGACGUGCUUGCCCGCUUUUGUUUAGUUUUCGUUCUGUAACUCCCUCCGCUUCUUGUUCAGUCUCCCCAGGCGUUGGUCUCUGUGCUCUGACAGGCCGAUAGCCCGAUUUUUUCCCUCCUCUUCCCCUUUUUGUAUUGUUUUCUGUGGGUGUGCGUGGCCGCGCCCUCUCUCGCUUUGUAUGGUGGACCCCACGCCAUCUUUUUGCUGUGCCGUCUCCCUUUUUUUGGUUGUCCUCGCAAGCGUGUCUCCGUUUUCUUGCUCGCCCCCCCCCACCGCUGCCUCCCUAUAGAGUUGUGUAGGGCUCUUGGUUCUCCGGCUCUACUUUACGUGUUUCCGACGUCUCCUCCGUAAUUUUUCUUCCUCUUUUUUUAUUUUAUCCUUUCUUACUAUUAUUCCUAUUUCGUACGCGGGUGAACUUGCGUUUUUGUGUGUGUGCCCACUCAUCUCACCACCACCACCCCUCUUCCCUCCUUUCCAUCUCAUCUCCAUCACUUCUUGGUAGUUGAAGCGUGUUUCUUCUCCUUUAGCGCGUUCUUUCCGAUUUGGCAUACCGCUUCUUCUUUUAUUUCUCGUGUUGUGCCUUACUAUCGCGGCUGCCUCCCCCUCUAUCUAUCUAUAUAUAUAUAGAUAUAGGUUUUCUGUUCUUGUUUUCCUUCUGUAGUCCCCUCCUCACACCGCCUUACGUUGUCGCGUUUUUUUUUGUGCCGUUGUUGUGCUCACCGCUCCUUUCUCCUUCAACGCUCUGCGACUCUGUUUCUCUCUUGGUACCGACGACGCGCUCUACGUGCGCCGGUGCUGACGUAAACUCUCUUGCGUGUCUCUCUCCCUCCCCCCUCUCGCUUCUAUUCUACUCGUUCCUUGUUGUAGGCUCCUCUUCCCCAUCUGUGUGUGUGUGUGUGUGUGUGUGUGUGUGUUACACAGUGUUCAUCUCUGCGCUGUUCUGUCUCUCUUUUUUGCCACUGUAUCUCAGUCUUUUGGCUUUCCUACGGGGGCUGCCACCUUUGCUUCUCUCUCUCGUCGUUGGUGUGCUUGGUUUCUCUUCUGCGUCGCCCUCACACGCUACACCGCUCAUCACCACCUCCAGUGAGACGGGGCGCUCCCUUCUCUCCCUCUCUUGCCUGCCAUCAUUCCGACAUUCGUUGCCGUCGUCCCGCUUCCCUGCGACCCUCUUCUGCCUUUUUGUUGCAGUCGCCGUGGUGGUUAGCUGACAGCGAGCGAGUGGGAGAAGAGACGACGGCCAUCAGAAAAAAAGAACUCGGCGCGCGUUGUCCAAUCAAAGUGGAAGGAGGGCCGUUCCUCUCGCCCCUCACAGCCGUCAACACCAAGAAACCAGCAGCAGAAAGCAAGAAGCCGGUGACAUUGUCUCGAGACUCACGCUUACGCGAACCUUCUCUUUUUCGUAUUUCUACGAGUUUCUGUCCGCGUGCGCGUAGGUGGAUGCGGAGAAGCAGAGGAGGAAGCAGUGCCAAGAGCGUCACGUGAGGAAAAGCGAAAGCGUAGUCGAACGUGGAGCGCAGUUUUUUUUUUUUUUUUAUGGUUUCUUUUUCUUUUGCUACUUGUGUUGUCGUUGUCGUCGUUGCGCACUCCAUCAACUGAGAGGCAGCAAAACAAAAACGCGAGAGUGCUCCUCUUUCUUUUAUCAAUCUUGGCUCGCUUGACCGAUAGGAAAGGAUUGUAUCGAUUCGACACGCCGACAGAAACUCAUACAUCUGUCGUGGAUACCGACCCACACAUACUUCUUGCUCUCCCUCCUUUUUUUAUUUCUGCGUUCGAAUCAUAGUUUGAGCGCGCGAGCGUUUUUCUCUCCCUUCUGUCUUUUCUGAUAUCUCUCUCCCUACCCCUCUCUGUGUGUCUGUGUGCGCGCGUGUGAUUGUCAUCAGCGGGCACGCACGUUCGUAGUCUGCCCCCGGGCUGGAUCUCUGCUUUCUUUUUUUUUUAUUGCUGCUGUGCUGUGCCGCUCUCUUUUAGUUUUACGUUCAAAAGUGUUUUCACCGUUCCUCUCCUUCCAUCUUCCUUCCUCCACACCGCGUUUCCCCAUCGUGGCGCUGUCUUUGUUUCGGUGUGUGCAUCAGUGUGUGCACUCUCGCGCGUUGCAACGCAGCAAGGGAGCACUGCUUGAGCCUCACCCUUUUUUUUUUUCUCAUAGCCUUCACCUUGUGAAGUCUCACCGCGUUGCCUGUCUUUCAGCACACGCACGCUCCUGUGUGCGCGCUUACACGACUGGCCAACCUUUUCUUUUGCUUGUACCUUUUCGUGGUGCUCAUCACGACACACGUGCAUACGAACGAGGAAGCGAAACGAACGGAGCAAAGUGCGAAAGUCGGGCACAGACGCGCUGCGCUCAGACGCACAACUGCGAAAAAAAAAAGAGAGCACGAACGCUCGCCAUUGAUCAGAAAACGACAGGGAGACACCACCCACUGCGUAUUUCUCGCGGCACCUCGAUUGCCCACGCAGUGGUCACCAAAACUCUUACCCUACCUCCUCCUCCUUCCCUCAGUGUCUUCUCCCCAAGCUCCCCGGGUCUUCUACUUCCUCGACAUCACUGAAACAGCCGUUUUCUGGAUCAGAGGCACGCACGAGUCGAUUUCGAAAAAGAAAAGACAAAACAGACAGCUCAGCGGACCGAGCCAAAAUCGUUCUUGUGCCCCUCGCUGUUGGGUGUGUCUCUCUCUCUUGCUCCUUUUCUUCCGCUUCUUUCAACCUCCAUCAAAAAGAUCUAUAUAUAUAUAUAUAUAUAUAUAUAUAUAUAUAUAUAUAUAUAUAUAUCUGUCAUCGCUGACUCUCUGGCCCUCCUCCUUCCCAUCGUCGACUCCUUUGAUUUUCUCGUUUGCUCUGUUGUUGUUUUGUGUGUGUGCUUGUGUCCUGGUCCCCCUCUUCCCCACGCCAGUGCAUCCCUUUCGUUGAUCCUCUUUUUUUUCGCAUUGUUGCCGUGUAUCGCACGCCGAGACAACUCUCCCCCUCUCUCGCUCUCUGGCUCUCCGGACUCGUCGAACGACAAGAUACCAAGCAUAAGGUAGAACAGACAACAGCGUCGGCUCACCCUCACACGGCUCACAGAGAUCGAUACACAUUCCCUUCUCUCUUUUUUUCUUCGUGUCAUCCUCGCUCUGCACACGCACACCCGUACCCACGCAAGCACGCACAGCCGAUAAUACGACCAGCAGCAGCACACGCCCCUUCCAGCGUGCCUGCCAGUGAGAGCGACUGCGAUAGCGUUUGUUUUAUAUAUCGGUGUUGGUGUGUGUGUGUGUGCGCGCACCUGCGUGUAUUUGCACGUCUUUGUUCACUGGCCCCCCUCUCUCUUCACCCUUUUGCCGACUCGCUGCUGUAGACGGGCCUCGUGUGCGUGUGUGUGUGCGUACAUUAAUCGAAGCGAAUAGAACGAGCAGCAGUCAGCCCCUCCCUGCUUCCUUUUGGGGGUUUUGAUUUCUCAAGGAAAAAGUUCGCUUGUAGGCCGUAUUCGGGGCUCGUUUUUUCUUUUGCUUCGUUUCUCUGGAAGGCUCCUGCAACGCCCCUCUCUCUCUGCGUGCGCGCGUGUGACUUACGGGCCCUUCUUUUUCUUGGAGGGCUUUGGCCCUAUUCCUCCCCCCCCACACACACACAUAAAGACUCGCAUAAACGAAAACCAACGGCGAUAACGAGAGAAUCGAUCGCGUUCCUCUCUUCGUCUGCACUGCAUAUCUUGUUGCACGCUUUACGCAGAGAGGGGCCCACUCCGUAGGGCCUAACCCUUGUUUUUUUUUUUCGUGGGGUUUCUCCCUUCGUGCUUAGUGCUCGUAUUUUCGUGCCUUGCUUCUCUGGCGCUUCUUCUCCGCUCGUCCUUGUCGCUCAAGAGACACGCCCCCCUCUCUCCGUCCCGCCUGCCCUUCCCUCUCUUCUCUGUUCUCUCACCACUUUUUUGUCGUUGCCCUGCUUUCCUGUCAAUCUUUUGCGUCAGGCGGUGCGCUUCGUGUCUCGUUUCUUUCCCUGCUUGUAAAUCGACAUCUUCCUCUCUCUCUACCUCGAUAUAAGUACAUUGGCUUCUGUUCUGCCCUCGCUCCUUCUGUGUGUUUCUUGUUUUGGUUGCGUGCUUGCUUGUGUGUGUGUGUGUUGCGGGUGCUGUGGCUGUUGCUCCUCUGCCGUUAGAGGGGUUUCACGCCCCUCUCCCUCCGCUUACUUUGUCGGCCUCAUCAGGUUUGAGUGGCUCUCUCGUCCUUCUUUUUUUUUGGUGAGUGAGUUUCGCAUCCCUGACGUCUUUCAUUUGGGCAACGUUUCGUGUGUGUGUGCGUGUGCUGAGCGUUCCUAUUUUGCGUACUCUCGCGCUGUUUUGUGUGCCUCUUGCGUGCCACGGCGCCUGACUCUCCGUGCGUGAGGUGGCAUACCCGAAUACACAACGUUGUGCAGUUUUUUUUUUUUUUAGUAUUAUUCUGUGGUGCGGCGUCCCUUAUGGAAACGUCUCUGCCGUUCGCCAUCUCGCGUCAGGCUAAAGAGGGAGGCGACUCGGUAGGCAAAGUGCACGUCUUGCGUCCCGCGUGCUGCGACACCUCAGCCAUUACCUCCGGCGCUCGCGGCGCAAUCGCGGCAGGGAAAGGCAGCAGCAACACCAAUGGCGACGCGUCUCUCAACGUCGCUCGUGUCGUGACGGGGAGCGUGGAGUACUACCUGACCGAUCGUAGCCCCCACAUCCAGGGCAUCCAUUCCCCUGUCUUGUCGACGUACAGCAGCAACAAGCCCGCGACCAACGCCUGCGCCACCCCUAGUGGCUGUAUCGGGGUACCGGUGCCUGGUGCACCGCAGGAAGCUGUACCCAUUGUGAACUCGCCGUCAGUGCCGGCCACCAGUGCCAACGGUCGCCUUAAGGUCUCAAGCCUCCUUGGCAACAUCAACACUGAUCCAUGCCACGCUGACGCCGCCGACUCGUGGGCCACCUCCAACUGCCUCCUGAAGACGUUAGACAACUCCGGCAAGGGGAUUUCCCCACUCUUGCUCGCACCUGGGAACAACCCCCAAGGCUGCGGCGCCGGCCCCCGGCUGCGAAUCUCGGAGAGCUCGUCGACGAUCGCUGACGACCUGGAGAACGAUAAGCCGCUUCUCUCCAGCACCGGCAAAGGGAGUGGCGAGAAGCGCUUCUUCGGUGCGACGCCACGCAGCGGAGAGUUUUUGCCGCUGAUCGAGUGGCUGCUGCGCCGUGGCGAGCGCGGUGACGUCGGUGCCCCGGCGGCAUCGCAGAAGGACGGCGACGAGUACACGCAGGCGAGCUUCUUCAACGAGGACUACAUCAUGAAGCUGUGCGCUGCGGCGACGGCGGUGCUAGUGAAGGAGCCAACGCUGCUGGAGCUGGAGGUGGUAGCGCACGACACGCUGGUGGUGGUGGGCGACAUCCACGGCCAGUUCCAGGACCUCUACACGAGCGUGCUCUGCCAGCAGUACGACCGGCGCCGGUGCAACCCCGACGGACGCGACCGCCACUUCCUGUUCAUGGGUGACUACGUGGACCGCGGCCCGCACAGCCUGGAGGUGGUGCUGCUGCUGCUGGCACUGAAGGUGGAAUACCCGACGCUAGUUUACCUGACGCGUGGCAACCACGAGGAGGAGAAGACGUCGCGCGUGUACGGCUUCUUGACGGAGGCGACGUCGUCGCUGGGCGCCGCGGCCGGGACGGCGGUGUGGAGCGCCGUGAACAAGGUGUUCCUCGACCUACCGCUGGCCGCGAUUGUGCAGACACUGUACAUGCGCUUCUUUGUGACGCACGGCGGCCUCUCGCCGGGCUUGCAGAAUGUGGAGGAUAUCGCGAGCAUUGAUCGCCACGCAUAUGGCACCGGGGAUCUGUCGAAGGAGGCGCACGAUAUUGUAGAUGGCCUUCUCUGGUCCGACCCGUGCAUCGGCACGGGCUUAUUCUCUGUUAGCUCGCGAGGGUGCGGGUGGGACUUUGGCCCUGCUGCGUCGAGCGACUUCUGCAGCAGAAACAAGCUCAACUUCGUUUGCCGCGCGCACCAGGUGGCGAUGGACGGGUACUUCUGGACGCACAACGACCACGUGGUGACAGUCUUUUCCGCACCGAAUUACUGCGGCAUCAACAAUAACCGUGGUGCCGUCAUGGUAGUGUCAGGAGAGGCGAACAAGCCGUCCUUUGAGCAGUACGACAGCUGCGAUGAGAGGGACUGUCCGUAUCUGGACUCGUGCUUUCCACACUCCUCUUUCUUCUACUAGGCCGUGGUAGUGGUGGUCGGUGUUGCGAAUACAAAAAAAGGCUUACCGGCGACGCCUACGUGCCCGGGCGUGCGCCCCUCCCCCUUCUUUCGAUUCCUCGUUGUCUUCUGCAGCAUGCUUCGUGGGCUCCGUACCGCUCACCUGCUUUACGUUUCUCGUACGACGACAAUG
This 7540-nucleotide unclassified non-coding RNA is filed under the name Leishmania donovani. RNAcentral's name for it is "gene:LdHU3.13.1820(CDS-product:phosphoprotein_pho sphatase_putative)". Lineage: Eukaryota; Euglenozoa; Kinetoplastea; Trypanosomatida; Trypanosomatidae. The record is from RNAcentral.